Molecule: long non-coding RNA, 415 nt
Filed under: Lathyrus oleraceus (garden pea)
Lineage: Eukaryota; Viridiplantae; Streptophyta; Magnoliopsida; Fabales; Fabaceae
Description: Pisum sativum (pea) long non-coding RNA (PSAT_LNC028175)
Source: RNAcentral
CGUGUUGACUAAAAAGUCAAACACCUUCCCCAUUAACCUCUCCACCUUCACCAAACUUCAACAUCAACCUUACAACCUUCCCCAACAUCGAUUCAUCACUUUCAUAAAAUCCCCUAACACCCCCUUCUUCAUACAUAAACCAUACUACCUCAUCGAAGCAAUUCCACCAUUACAAAAUACCAUCCAAACCAUCACAAAUAUCAAUCUCACAACAACAAACAUAAAAAACAACAACAAAUCAUCAAAAACAACAACACAUCAUCAUAAACCAAAUCACAACAAAAAAACUCUCAAUACCAUACUCAUUAUAAUAACCACAACUCAAAACCAAAAAACAAAUGACAAUAAAUGUGAAAAAUACAAAAUCGCAAUAAGAAGAAGAAUAAAAAAAUUCAGAAAACGAAACUGUCAGCUC